AGACCGAUAGCGAACAAGUACCGUGAGGGAAAGAUGAAAAGAACUUUGAAAAGAGAGUUAAAAAGUACCUGAACUUGUUGGGGGGAAAGCGUUUGCCUCCAGUGUGCCGCGUAUGACUCAGCCUCCUUGGAGGUGCACUUUGUGCGCGGCGGUCAGGGUGGGUUUGCUUGGGCGUUGACGGUCCCCUUGAGGUCUUCGGGCAACGGGGUGGCUUUUGCGUCCGCGCGGACCGAGGCUCGCUCGCAUCGCGCGUCGGUGGAUCGUGUGUGCGUCUGACAAGCAACUUGUCUUCGUACAGCGUGAAUCCCUAGUGCGUGGUUAGCGUGACCCUGACGAAAUGGUGGCAACCGACCCGUCUAGUAACACGGACCAAGGAGUCUGACGACUGCGCGAGUCUUCGGGUGGCAACCCCGUGGGCGUAAUGAAAGUGACUUGGCCUUCAGGGCCGACCGACCGUGAUCUUUUGUGAAUGGUUUGAGUACGAGCGUAGUUGCCGGGACCCGAAAGAUGGUGAACUAUGCCUGAAUAGGGUGAAGUCAGAGGAAACUCUGAUGGAAGCUUGUAGCGGUUCUGACGUGCAAAUCGAUCGUCAAAUUUGGGUAU
RNAcentral lists this ribosomal RNA (603 nucleotides) under Oxyrrhis marina. RNAcentral's name for it is "partial Eukaryotic large subunit ribosomal RNA". It matches the Rfam family "Eukaryotic large subunit ribosomal RNA", at positions 331 to 918 of the family's 3401-position model. Lineage: Eukaryota; Dinophyceae; Oxyrrhinales; Oxyrrhinaceae. The record is from RNAcentral.